ACCUAUCAUGCAGUCGAGCGAACUGAUUAGAAGCUUGCUUCUAUGACGUUAGCGGCGGACGGGUGAGUAACACGUGGGCAACCUGCCUGUAAGACUGGGAUAACUUCGGGAAACCGAAGCUAAUACCGGAUAGGAUCUUCUCCUUCAUGGGAGAUGAUUGAAAGAUGGUUUCGGCUAUCACUUACAGAUGGGCCCGCGGUGCAUUAGCUAGUUGGUGAGGUAACGGCUCACCAAGGCAACGAUGCAUAGCCGACCUGAGAGGGUGAUCGGCCACACUGGGACUGAGACACGGCCCAGACUCCUACGGGAGGCAGCAGUAGGGAAUCUUCCGCAAUGGACGAAAGUCUGACGGAGCAACGCCGCGUGAGUGAUGAAGGCUUUCGGGUCGUAAAACUCUGUUGUUAGGGAAGAACAAGUACGAGAGUAACUGCUCGUACCUUGACGGUACCUAACCAGAAAGCCACGGCUAACUACGUGCCAGCAGCCGCGGUAAUACGUAGGUGGCAAGCGUUAUCCGGAAUUAUUGGGCGUAAAGCGCGCGCAGGCGGUUUCUUAAGUCUGAUGUGAAAGCCCACGGCUCAACCGUGGAGGGUCAUUGGAAACUGGGGAACUUGAGUGCAGAAGAGAAAAGCGGAAUUCCACGUGUAGCGGUGAAAUGCGUAGAGAUGUGGAGGAACACCAGUGGCGAAGGCGGCUUUUUGGUCUGUAACUGACGCUGAGGCGCGAAAGCGUGGGGAGCAAACAGGAUUAGAUACCCUGGUAGUCCACGCCGUAAACGAUGAGUGCUAAGUGUUAGAGGGUUUCCGCCCUUUAGUGCUGCAGCUAACGCAUUAAGCACUCCGCCUGGGGAGUACGGUCGCAAGACUGAAACUCAAAGGAAUUGACGGGGGCCCGCACAAGCGGUGGAGCAUGUGGGUUUAAUUCGAAGCAACGCGAAGAACCUUACCAGGUCUUGACAUCCUCUGACAACUCUAGAGAUAGAGCGUUCCCCUUCGGGGACAGAGUGACAGUGUGCAUGAUUGUCGUCAGCUCGUGUCGUGAGAUGUGGUUAAGUCCCGCAACG
This 1063-nucleotide ribosomal RNA is filed under the name Bacillus sp. (in: firmicutes). Its description in RNAcentral is "bacterial SSU rRNA". It matches the Rfam family "Bacterial small subunit ribosomal RNA", at positions 48 to 1094 of the family's 1533-position model. Lineage: Bacteria; Bacillati; Bacillota; Bacilli; Caryophanales; Bacillaceae. The record is from RNAcentral.